RNAcentral lists this unclassified non-coding RNA (351 nucleotides) under soil metagenome. RNAcentral describes it as "partial contains 5.8S ribosomal RNA, internal transcribed spacer 2, and large subunit ribosomal RNA". The stretch from base 1 to 120 matches the Rfam family "5.8S ribosomal RNA", at positions 35 to 154 of the family's 154-position model. The record is from RNAcentral.
GAUGAAGAACGUAGCGAAAUGCGAAAAGUAAUGUGAAUUGCAGAAUUCAGUGAAUCAUCGAAUCUUCGAACGCACAUUGCGCCCGCCAGUAUUCUGGCGGGCAUGCCUGUCUGAGCGUCAUUUCAACCCUCACGCCCCUAGGGCGUGGUGUUGGGGAUCGGCCAAGGCCCGCAAGGGACGGCCGGCCCCUAAAUCUAGUGGCGGACCCAUCGUGGCCUCCCCUGCGAAGUAGUAAUAUAUUCCGCAUCGGAUAGCGAUGAGCCCCUGCCGUUAAACCCCCAACUCUUUCAAGGUUGACCUCAGAUCAGGUAGGAAUACCCGCUGAACUUAAGCAUAUCAAUAAGCGGAGGA